GCAUAUCAAUAAGCGGAGGAAAAGAAACUAACAUGGAUUCCCCUAGUAAUGGCGAAUGAAGAGGGAAAAGCUCAAAUUUUAAAUCUACCUGGUUCCCAGGUCGAGUUGUAAUUUGAAGAAGCUGAUAUCGGUGUGGAGGUCUGGUUCAAGUUCUUUGGAACAAGACAUCAUGGAGGGUGAGAAUCCCGUGCAUGAUCAGACCAAGAUACUUAAUAUUCGCUUUCUAAGAGUCGAGUUGUUUGGGAAUGCAGCUCAAAAUGGGUGGUAGACUUCACCUAAAGCUAAAUAUCAGCGAGAGACCGAUAGCGAACAAGUACUGUGAAGGAAAGAUGAAAAGAACUUUGAAAAGAGAGUUAAAUAGUACGUGAAAUUGUUGAAAGGGAAACGAUUGAAGUCAGUCAUGCUAGUGGAAAUUCAGUUUGGUGGGUUUUGGGUUCAGGAGUUGAGGCAGGGUCAAACCGUUUCUCUUUUGAUCUUGGAAUUUGUCAGAUGCACUUUUUCUUUGGCAGGUCAGCGUCGAUUUCGGAGGUUGUAAAAUACUCGGGGAAAAGUAGCUCUGCUUCGGGAGAGUGUUAUAGACCUUGGGUGAUGCAGCCUGUGGGAUCGAGGAUUGCAGCAAAUGCCUUUGGCAUGUCGCCUGAUCUCUGGACGUCAUCUCGCAUGUAUCAACAUUCUUGGUGCCGGUGAGUAAUGGUGCUCAUAGGUUAGGGCGAUCAAAAAUUUGCUAAGGAUGCUGACGUAAUGGCUUUAAACG
Molecule: ribosomal RNA, 754 nt
Filed under: Diversispora celata
Lineage: Eukaryota; Fungi; Glomeromycota; Glomeromycetes; Diversisporales; Diversisporaceae
Description: eukaryotic LSU rRNA
Rfam family: Eukaryotic large subunit ribosomal RNA
Source: RNAcentral